Molecule: ribosomal RNA, 253 nt
Filed under: uncultured bacterium
Lineage: Bacteria
Description: partial 16S ribosomal RNA
Rfam family: Bacterial small subunit ribosomal RNA
Source: RNAcentral
GACGUAGGAGGCGAGCGUUAUCCGGAUUCACUGGGCGUAAAGCGCGUGUAGGUGGUUCGGCAAGUCGGUUGUGAAAGCCCCUGGCUCAACUGGGGGAGGUCAGCCGAAACUGCGGGACUGGAGGACCAGAGAGGAAGGUGGAAUUCCCGGUGUAGCGGUGGAAUGCGUAGAGAUCGGGAGGAACACCAGUGGCGAAAGCGGCCUUCUGGCUGGUAACUGACACUGAGACGCGAAAGCGUGGGUAGCAAACGGG